This is a long non-coding RNA of Dermacentor silvarum, 218 nucleotides long. RefSeq lists it as uncharacterized. The transcript is spliced from 3 exons. NCBI's taxonomy places the organism in Eukaryota, Metazoa, Arthropoda, Arachnida, Ixodida, Ixodidae. The record is from RefSeq and is a predicted model, not a curated record.
CGCAAACGAUAAGAGUAGCAGCUGGCAGAACGUGGGAGGAAUAAAGGGUUAUGGAUAUAAACUCAAAAUUUGGUCAAGAGAGGAUGUUAUACUAUCAACGCACAUGAGCGAAGAAUUUGGAGAUGAGUAUGCAAGACUGCCAUGGCACUUCGACCUACCUGGAUCUGUACAGCCUCCGGGCUCCAGCAUAAUUGCCCUCCUCGAGUGCACAAAACCAG